GUUAGACCUCUAGUCUAAGCUGGCCCACACUGAGCCUGCAGAGAAGCUAAAAUGAGGCUGUGGCUGCUGAGUUUAGUGGCAGGGAUCAUCCUGGGGGUGGCCGGGACCCCCCUGGGAAAAGCCUCAACAGGAAGAGAACGAGCAAAGGAGGAAAAGUCUAUGAACAGGAGCUCACAAAUGGAUUUUAUCCUUCGAAAUCUAAAUGGCAGCAGCAUCAGAGAUCUCUGUGAGGGCUGCUGUGAGGAGAGAGAGAAAGAGGAACUAUACCUAAGCAGGCAACCAAGGAAGACACUGAAGUCUCCCAGGAAGAGAAGACCUGGCCAGUGGACAAUCCUUGGGAGUUUGCCUCUCCCAAUUGGAAACAGUUCCAUCAAUAUGGUGAUGAUGUUUCAUAAUGACACUCAUAUUGACUAUCAAGCUAAGAAAGUCACACACCAGGCUGAGAACCUCAGAGAAGGGUGGUGCUCUGGCUGCUGUGAAGACAAUGGAACCCUGGGGGCCCUUGAGAGAAGAGAGGGAGAAGAAGUCAAAGAAGUGCCUCCUAUUAGCACUGAUCAUGGUGGUCAGGUCCUAGGGAACUCUGGUUCCACAGAGAAGAGAUUGGCUCACCUUUCUGAAGUUUCCCAUGAAGCUAGAGGGCAGUUUGAUCUCGGACUUAGUAAAUACCCUACAGAAACCUUUCCUGUCUUCCCCACAAGCUAAACCAUGCUCUAGUCUACCUUGAAUAAGACCUAGUGCAAUGCCCAGCAGGAACAGAGCACCACGAGAAAUACUUUACUUAUGCUAAAGCAAUAAUUCUGGGAAAUAAAAGGUCCUGUGUUCCAUUCCCUCCA
This 833-nucleotide long non-coding RNA is filed under the name Vombatus ursinus (common wombat). RNAcentral's name for it is "lncRNA (ENSVURG00010007274.1)". The record is from RNAcentral. Lineage: Eukaryota; Metazoa; Chordata; Mammalia; Diprotodontia; Vombatidae.